This 61-nucleotide transfer RNA is filed under the name Aphelocoma coerulescens (scrub jay). It matches the Rfam family "tRNA", at positions 6 to 65 of the family's 71-position model. Rfam says of the family: Transfer RNA (tRNA) molecules are approximately 80 nucleotides in length. RNAcentral also lists the same sequence under 1 other name. The record is from Rfam by way of RNAcentral. Lineage: Eukaryota; Metazoa; Chordata; Aves; Passeriformes; Corvidae.
AUAAGCUCAGUUGUUAGAGCAUGCUGCUCAUAAUGCCACGGUGUGGGUUCAAACCCCAUAU